CCUGGCGGCUGUAGCGCGGUGGUCCCACCUGACCCCAUGCCGAACUCAGAAGUGAAACGCCGUAGCGCCGAUG
Molecule: ribosomal RNA, 73 nt
Filed under: Citrobacter freundii
Lineage: Bacteria; Pseudomonadati; Pseudomonadota; Gammaproteobacteria; Enterobacterales; Enterobacteriaceae
Also listed under: 8 other names
Source: RNAcentral